ACUUUGUUUUGCAGCCAGCGAACGAGGCAAGUUGCAAACGACCAACUUUAUUCUCAGAUGUUGCCUUUAACAACGUCGCGUUAUAUAAUUCCCUGUUUACAGUUGAAGUCAUAUUUUAACGCGGUAUAUGCAAAUUACGAAGGAAGUAGAAUAAAUUAUGUUCGUGAUUUCUGGCCAUGUUUCUCACUUUGAUACCAGCAGGCUUACCGCCAUCUGCUACUCGAUAGUGCUUAGAGAAAGUAGUGGUGAACGAAAAGAAGACAAAACUGUUUCCAAAGCAAUUGGCUAUUGCGCUAUGUCAUUUGCGGGGCUCUAUUUUUAUAAAUGGCACAUAUGUGUGUAUAUAAUAUUGUAUAGAAUAUUUAUUAAAACUAAUUUUUAAUGAUGAAACCUUUUGUUCGCAAACAGUUUUGUCACAGAAGAAUUUUUUGUUUGUUUUCGAUGUUGGCAAACAGGAAAAUAUUUGAGAAAAACAUUUUCAGAUGUUGCUGCAACGAUGUUUUCGAGGGUGUAAAAGACGGAAACGUUUGAGGACACAUGAAAUUUUCAGAACAAUAUAUCAUUGUUUACCAAAAAGGCCAAUAUUUAUAUCAGUUACUAUCUAUUACAAUAUGGUGGAAUUUCAUGCAAUAAGUCAUUUGUCUUCAUUGGUGUUAGUUUUCCAUAACUUUUUACAAUUUUGUAAUUUUGGAUUUUUGUGGCACACAAAUGGUAAGUAUCAGCCUUAAAACUAGGGAUAGAAUGGGCUAGAUGUGAGAAAUAUUGUUUAACAAGUAACAGGCAACUUGAAAUUGAACAUUCCAGACAUGGAUUUAAGCAUUUUGAAAGUCUCAAGAAAAAAUAUACUUGAAUGAUCAAAGCGGCAAAUCCAUUUAUAAAAUAAAUCAAUUUUGGAAUUUUAGGCAGCGCUUGAAUAAUUAAAUUUGAGAGCAAAAUCCCAGCCAAUCAAAUGAACUUCGAAUUAUUUUGGAGUUGAAAAGCAUUUUUCAACGCAUGCGUGUUUAUCCUAUAAAACAGAACACAAAAACAGAAAAAGAAGCA
Molecule: non-coding RNA, 1041 nt
Organism: Paramuricea clavata
Lineage: Eukaryota; Metazoa; Cnidaria; Anthozoa; Malacalcyonacea; Plexauridae
Source: the annotation of a GenBank genome assembly